This 449-nucleotide ribosomal RNA is filed under the name Phenylobacterium sp. RNAcentral describes it as "bacterial SSU rRNA". It matches the Rfam family "Bacterial small subunit ribosomal RNA", at positions 394 to 861 of the family's 1533-position model. The record is from RNAcentral. Lineage: Bacteria; Pseudomonadati; Pseudomonadota; Alphaproteobacteria; Caulobacterales; Caulobacteraceae.
AUGCCGCGUGAAUGAUGAAGGUCUUAGGAUUGUAAAAUUCUUUCACCGGGGAAGAUAAUGACGGUACCCGGAGAAGAAGCCCCGGCUAACUUCGUGCCAGCAGCCGCGGUAAUACGAAGGGGGCUAGCGUUGCUCGGAAUUACUGGGCGUAAAGGGCGCGUAGGCGGACAGUUAAGUCAGAGGUGAAAGCCCAGGGCUCAACCUUGGAAUUGCCUUUGAUACUGGCUGUCUUGAGUUCGGGAGAGGUGAGUGGAAUGCCGAGUGUAGAGGUGAAAUUCGUAGAUAUUCGGCGGAACACCAGUGGCGAAGGCGACUCACUGGCCCGAUACUGACGCUGAGGCGCGAAAGCGUGGGGAGCAAACAGGAUUAGAUACCCUGGUAGUCCACGCUGUAAACGAUGAGUGCUAGUUGUCGGCAUGCAUGCAUGUCGGUGACGCAGCUAACGCAUU